GCAGCAACAGAAGUUCCAUUACAUAAAGUCAAAAUGUGGAUUUAGAAACCAAAAAAUGGUUUCAGAAAUGCAUCUUCUUUAUGUAAUCAGAAAAAAGAAAAAAACAAUUCUGGAGAAGCAGAAGGGCAAUAAGCCCAGCUGAAACAGUAUUCAUGUAACACCUGAUGAUGAAAGACAUCACACAGCUGUGCAAGGGACACAAAGGGAUAAAUGAGCGGGAAGAAGCUUGGACUUGUUGGGAUCAGUCAUAGACUCAAUUUGGGAUCCCCUAUUGAAGCUGAAUGUAGGACCACCUUGAAGGCUGCUGCUAUACACAAAAGAGCCACACCAAAUUUUGGUAAUUUUUGAGUGUUGAAAGAGUUUCUCUAAACUAUUGUGGAUGUGUGUGAAUGAGAGCUUAUUGUACUGUUUGUGCUACCCAUCUAUUAUUUGGAUGACCUUGUCUCCACUGAUUUAUUUCUUCAAAGGGAGUAAAGUUACAAAGAAUUUGGAAGAAUCCCAGGUAAUAUCAUCAAUGUAGAGAUUGUCUAUAUUAAAAUGUUACAGCUGUGCAGCUGUGCCAUUUAAAGUGUAGACAACCUCUUAAAGUAUGUUUAGAGCACUUCAUUGACUAUCCCCACUCCAUUUGACUUUCUCUUUCCUGCAAAUACAGCCAGUAUUGACAGCAAAAUUAUAAAACGUCCCAAGAACCUCCAUCACACAUUCUGUCGUUGCUCUGUUUAUUCAUAGGAGGAGCUCAUUUUAAAUAUCCACAAAGCCAUUUCCCUGUCCUGCUUCGUAUACCAUCCUUAAAACUCUUAUCUGCUGUGGUGCCUAUAAAACACCCUGAUCAAUGGUAAGGCAGCUGGCUUCCCGUGAACACUGUUUCUUGUGCUGACUAGUAUAGUUCCAUUCUUUCUUUGUGUGCCACUCCAACAGUUUUAGUCGCCUGUUGUCUUACACUUAGACUGUAAUCUGUUCAGACCAGAGCCUAUGUGUUACAUAUCUGUACAGUGCAAGUAACCUAAAUAUAUAAAUGAAUAAUAAUAAUGCCAACAGCAACUUUAAACAAAUGAGCAAUCCUAAUGAAGUGGUUUCCUGAACUGAAGCUUUUAUACUCAUCUAAUAGGUCACACUGAGGAAUUUCAAAAAAAUGUAUCAUCCACAGAAUAGAUUCAUGAUGGAAAACGAUGAUGCAAGUUUCUAAUCACUGACAUGCAAAUGUGCCUUACUGCUGACUUGGAGAAAUCAGCAUAAAUUCAUUCUUAGUGUCCUUUCUGCUGAGGCUAUCAGCAUUGCCAACUUGUGCCAAACAUGAUGGCUCCCUUUUGAAUAGACACUUAUGUGAUUGGAAAUGGACUGAAACCAUACAUUCCCUUAACAAUAGGCCUACAAACAAUAACUGGAGGGAGAGGACUGUCACACAUUACUAACCUAUUUUUGUUUCAAGUUGAAGAUUUAGGGCCUCAUCCAAAAUCAACUGAAAGCAGUGGAAAAUCUCCCAUAACAUCAAUGACUUUUGGAUCAGAUCCUUAGAAAUAUAUUGAAUGUACCAAUGUUUAAGCACCUCAAAGAAAUAAGGAAGUGGUUGCUAAACACUCACCCAGAGAAAUGUUAGGAACUAUUUUAUUAUUGCAAAAAACAAAUCUAUUCUCUGUCAUGUCAUAAAGAGAUGGCCAAACUAUUUUUUUAAAUAUUGGCUUUCUUUAUGGCUAUAGAGUAAUAAAAAGGAGUCUUUUGGAACACAUUCUGUAUCCCAAGAGGUCCAAUUUUCAGAUUCAUGGCAGUUUUCCUUUUCUAAGACUCAGCUUUCUUGUGUGUACAAGUCCCUUUAGCAUAUCAUGUGGCAUUUCCUAACCUUUAAUAGUAAGCUUAAGGGCUGUAAAAAAUUAUUUCACUCUUCUGUGUUUUAUAAAAAUGCUAAAAUCUUUCAAAAAGAAAUCUUGUAAUUCUAACUCUUUUUAAAGGGUACUUAGAAUGUUGCUUGGUUAUUAGUAUAUUAUUCACUUGAAACACACAAAACAGCCUUCCAGUAUUUCUCAUAAAUUAGAAUAUUUUUUUUAAUUUAAGAAGUCUAACAGCAUGACAUAGUCUAGAAAUAAUUCUGCUAAAUAUUUGAUUUUUAAUAGAACAACAGUAAUAUUUUGAACUAAGCAUAAAUGAUAGUGCUGGUCCCGGAAGUGAAAGGACCUAAGGCAAAAUUUGCCUGGCAGAAGAGCGUUGGCUCAAGGUUCUCUACACCCUUUAAACUCUUCAUAGAGGCUACUAGCUGAGCAGCUAUACAGAAAUGUUUAUGCUUCCAUUGCAUGCUGCAGAACUGGUUUUAAUUCCAUCUCCAUAUUGGAGACAGGAGAAGCAUGGCCCAAGGAGAGUUUCUGCAGAUCUGUGUUUCUGCUGAGGCCACGGUGCCCUUGGCAACUGAUACAAGAGAGGUUGAGGCUGUGAAUACAACUUGCUGACUGAAGCAACAUCAUAGCUUCUCUCACUAA
This is a non-coding RNA of Pelodiscus sinensis (Chinese soft-shelled turtle), 2468 nucleotides long. The record is from RefSeq and is a predicted model, not a curated record. NCBI's taxonomy places the organism in Eukaryota, Metazoa, Chordata, Testudines, Trionychidae.